RNAcentral lists this ribosomal RNA (497 nucleotides) under uncultured bacterium. RNAcentral describes it as "partial 16S ribosomal RNA". It matches the Rfam family "Bacterial small subunit ribosomal RNA", at positions 28 to 507 of the family's 1533-position model. The record is from RNAcentral.
GAUGAACGCUGGCGGCGUGCCUAAUACAUGCAAGUCGAGCGAACGGACGAGAAGCUUGCUUUUCUGAUGUUAGCGGCGGACGGGUGAGUAACACGUGGAUAACCUACCUAUAAGACUGGGAUAACUUCGGGAAACCGGAGCUAAUACCGGAUAAUAUUUUGAACCGCAUGGUUCAAAAGUGAAAGACGGUCUUGCUGUCACUUAUAGAUGGAUCCGCGCUGCAUUAGCUAGUUGGUAUGGUAACGGCUUACCAAGGCAACGAUGCAUAGCCGACCUGAGAGGGUGAUCGGCCACACUGGAACUGAGACACGGUCCAGACUCCUACGGGAGGCAGCAGUAGGGAAUCUUCCGCAAAGGGCGAAAGCCUGACGGAGCAACGCCGCGUGAGUGAUGAAGGUCUUCGGAUCGUAAAACUCUGUUAUUAGGGAAGAACAUAUGUGUAAGUAACUGUGCACAUCUUGACGGUACCUAAUCAGAAAGCCACGGCUAACUACGUG